AUUAUAUUCUUACCUCGAAUGGAGAGGCACGUAGGGUAUCUCCUGGGGUAAAGCUUAGGGUUCACUUCACACCAAACCACCACGUGAGGGGGAACUCAGCCAACGCCAAGGAACGGCUAUGUUUUCAAAACAAAAAACAUGAUUUAUGUGAAAUGUGAAAUUUAAUAGCCUUGGCGAUCUCGGUAGGAUGCCUCGACCAAGGUGUCCUCGAGAAUGGAUUUAUGGCACAAGCCUAGUUUUUAUGAGAUUC
RNAcentral lists this long non-coding RNA (250 nucleotides) under Theobroma cacao (cacao). RNAcentral's name for it is "long non-coding RNA (TCAC_LNC001118)". The record is from RNAcentral. Lineage: Eukaryota; Viridiplantae; Streptophyta; Magnoliopsida; Malvales; Malvaceae.